GAUGAACGCUGGCGGCGUGCCUAAUACAUGCAAGUCGAGCGAACGGACGAGAAGCUUGCUUCUCUGAUGUUAGCGGCGGACGGGCGAGUAACACGUGGAUAACCUACCUAUAAGACUGGGAUAACUUCGGGAAACCGGAGCUAAUACCGGAUAAUAUUUUGAACCGCAUGGUUCAAAAGUGAAAGACGGUCUUGCUGUCACUUAUAGAUGGAUCCGCGCUGCAUUAGCUAGUUGGUAAGGUAACGGCUUACCAAGGCAACGAUGCAUAGCCGACCUGAGAGGGUGAUCGGCCACAAUGGAACUGAGACACGGUCCAGACACCUACGGGAGGCAGCAGUAGGGAAUCUUCCGCAAUGGGCGAAAGCCUGACGGAGCAACGCCGCGUGAGUGAUGAAGGUCUUCGGAUCGUAAAACUCUGUUAUUAGGGAAGAACAUAUGUGUAAGUAACUGUGCACAUCUUGACGGUACCUAAUCAGAAAGCCACGGCUAACUACGUG
This 497-nucleotide ribosomal RNA is filed under the name uncultured bacterium. RNAcentral describes it as "partial 16S ribosomal RNA". It matches the Rfam family "Bacterial small subunit ribosomal RNA", at positions 28 to 507 of the family's 1533-position model. The record is from RNAcentral.